This 254-nucleotide ribosomal RNA is filed under the name uncultured bacterium. RNAcentral describes it as "partial 16S ribosomal RNA". It matches the Rfam family "Bacterial small subunit ribosomal RNA", at positions 524 to 776 of the family's 1533-position model. RNAcentral also lists the same sequence under 1 other name. The record is from RNAcentral.
UACGUAGGGUGCGAGCGUUGUCCGGAAUUACUGGGCGUAAAGAGCUCGUAGGUGGUUUGUCACGUCGUCUGUGAAAUUCCGGGGCUUAACCUCGGGCGUGCAGGCGAUACGGGCAAUACUUGAGUGCUGUAGGGGAGACUGGAAUUCCUGGUGUAGCGGUGAAAUGCGCAGAUAUCAGGAGGAACACCAAUGGCGAAGGCAGGUCUCUGGGCAGUUACUGACGCUGAGGAGCGAAAGCAUGGGUAGCGAACAGG